CCUGUCGACGCAACGCCGCGUGGAGGACGAAGAUCUUCGGGUCGUAAACUCCUUUCGAUCGGGAAGAACGUUUUCCGGCCUAACACGCUGGAGAAGUGACGGUACCGAGAGAAGAAGCCCCGGCUAACUCUGUGCCAGCAGCCGCGGUAAUACAGGGGGGGCAAGCGUUGUUCGGAAUUACUGGGCGUAAAGGGCCAGUAGGCGGCCAACUAAGUCACACGUGAAAUCCCCAGGCUUAACCUGGGAACUGCGUGUGAUACUGGAUGGCUUGAAUUCGGGAGAGGGAUGCAGAAUUCCAGGUGUAGCGGUGAAAUGCGUAGAUAUCUGGAGGAAUACCGGUGGCGAAGGCGGCAUCCUGGACCGACAUUGACGCUGAACGGCGAAAGCUAGGGGAGCAAACGGGAUUAGAUACCCCGGUAGUCCUAGCCCUAAACGAUGAAUGCUUGGUGUGGCGGGUAUCGAUCCCUGCCGUGCCGAAGCUAACGCAUUAAGCAUUCCGCCUGGGGAGUACGGUCGCAAGGCUG
Molecule: ribosomal RNA, 524 nt
Filed under: uncultured Acidobacteriota bacterium
Lineage: Bacteria; Pseudomonadati; Acidobacteriota
Description: bacterial SSU rRNA
Rfam family: Bacterial small subunit ribosomal RNA
Source: RNAcentral